GAUGUUUACGUCCUCUUAUAUUUAUUCAUACUAUAGAUAAGUGUCGACUGAUAUAACGUUCAACGACAAAUAAACAAAGAUAUGUUGUACUAUGAGACUUCUAAUGACAACUAUAUGUCGUCUCAUAUUGUCAAACUACUAGGCGCUAUAUCAUCUAGAGUCCAACGACAAUUACUUGUCGUUUGACUUGUCUUGAGACCACAAAUGUUUAACUUCACGGAUUCUGCCGGAUUGCUGCCUCGCCACUCGUCGGAUUCCGGUGACUUGCCGGAAUUUCGCCAUAGCCUCCCCAUAAACUCCUAUCACCAAGUUAUCGACAAGUAUCAACCACAACAAUGAUUUCAGUCACAAUCCAACUCAAUAACCGCAACACAAACAACAACACAGCCGACCAAAUCGAACUCCUUACCUCCAAUCUGAACACCACUCAAACCCAGCAACCUCUCCUUGCUUGAAAUCAAUAAGCAGUCCCUCUGCCACGAUGUUGCAUAACAGCAGCUGCCCCAAAGCUUCCCAACUCUAAGUCUCGUCUUCGCCAAGGAUGAACUACGCUCGUCAGAGCUCGUGGUCGCCACCAAAACACGAAGAACACAAUCGCCAGAAAAGAAGCUCAAGAAACCCAGAAACACAGAAGGGGAUUUCUGAGUUAGGUCUCAAUUGAAGGAAAUAAAGCACUAGACUAUGCAGAAGGAAGAGAGGAGGAAGGGACUCACCGUCGCUAGGUGGAUCGGUGACCGGAGCCCAAGCCCUCGCCGGAAAACAGAGAAGGACAGUCACCGUCCUCCUCCAUCGAUCUCCGCCAAAAGUGGAUGUCUUCAGGAUUAAAGGACUGGGCUGAGUUGAGGAGGAGGAGAGGAUCACUUCGGUGGCGGUCUCACCGUCCGGUGCUGCCGGAAUCGUUGCUGCUCAACGGAGGAGAGAGAGAGAGUCGGGGAGAGAUGAGAGAGACAGAGAGGGACGGGUCAACGCCUUUAGAGAGAGUGAUGAAAAGAGAGCACUGCCUUUAGACUUAGUGAUGCGGCGCAAGACCUUUGUAACCUAAAUGCUUUGUAAUCUUGAUCACACGACAUAAAAAUGAUAUCCGACUUCACAAAUUAGUCACUACUAGCCCGACUCCCAAUGAAACCUCUAAACCCUCUUUUCGGUCAAUUUUUUUUGACUUAUUUAUGUAUUCAUCAAACGACAUAUAUAUGUAGUCUGUAUUGAAUAAAGAAAGAUCGAUACAUGUUGACCACAUCGACCGAGACCCGAACAUCUUCGAAAAUCACUGAAUUUUGUACCAUAGCCAUUUUUCACUAUAAUGAUAAGAUCUAACACUCAAACUUUCAUUUUGUUUAUUUUUGUCAUUUGAAUCACAAUAUUCUGCUAAUCUGUUAUAAGAUGUUUACCAAAGAUAUAUCGAAACAUACAUCUUUCUAAACUAACUAUAUAUAUGAAAUAAAAUUUACCAAAUCUGACCGUACGAUGUAUUCGAUGUAGUUAAAUAUGAAUGUGGUAAAAACUUAUCCAAUUUCAAAAAAGUUCAAGUCUCGAUCACACGAGUCAACUGUGCGCUUACACUAAACUUCCUUGUACGCUCUACGGGAAGCAAUAUCAUCGUUUGAUAAACAUGUCCAAAUUUUCGCAUAGAUUAGUUUUCCAAUACGAAAU
Molecule: long non-coding RNA, 1650 nt
Filed under: Fragaria vesca (wild strawberry)
Lineage: Eukaryota; Viridiplantae; Streptophyta; Magnoliopsida; Rosales; Rosaceae
Description: long non-coding RNA (FVES_LNC002226)
Source: RNAcentral